Molecule: long non-coding RNA, 308 nt
Filed under: Calidris pugnax (ruff)
Lineage: Eukaryota; Metazoa; Chordata; Aves; Charadriiformes; Scolopacidae
Description: lncRNA (ENSCPUG00000008756.1)
Source: RNAcentral
GAAUUUAUUACCUUUCAAUGCCAUUAAAUAGCUGUUUGUUACCUUUCAAUGUCAUGAAAUAACCUUCUUUAUUUUUCUUCUUUUCUUUUUCUUGUAUUAGGAAGUAGAGAAGAUUUGAGUGCAGCUUUCAAUGUAUAGGUUGUUCCCCUGAAGAAGAUACCUUUCACAGCCUAAGCUCUUCAUGGACACUUUCACAUGUUGUGGGUUCACGCCAUAGAAGAUCCAUGUCAGGAACAUUUCAAUGAAAGACAGCUCCCUCUAAAAAUCAGUUGCUAGAGCUGAGCCCAGUAAGGGAGACGCUUUACUCA